AACGAACGCUGGCGGCAUGCCUAACACAUGCAAGUCGAACGAGACCUUCGGGUCUAGUGGCGCACGGGUGCGUAACGCGUGGGAACCUGCCCUUAGGUUCGGAAUAACUCACCGAAGGGGGUGCUAAUACCGGAUAAUGUCUUCGGACCAAAGAUUUAUCGCCUUUGGAUGGGCCCGCGUUGGAUUAGCUGGUUGGUAGGGUAAAAGCCUACCAAGGCGACGUUCCAUAGCUGGUCUGAGAGGAGGAUCAGCCACACUGGGACUGAGACACGGCCUAGAGUGCGACGGGAGGGAGCAGUAGGGAAUAUUAGACAAGGGGCGAAAGCGUGAUACAGCAAUGCCGCGUAAGUGAUGAAGGCCUUAGGGUUGUAAAUCUCUUUUACCCGGGAUGAUAAUGACAGUACCGGGAGAAUAAGCACCGGCUAACUACGUG
Molecule: ribosomal RNA, 433 nt
Filed under: uncultured bacterium
Lineage: Bacteria
Description: partial 16S ribosomal RNA
Rfam family: Bacterial small subunit ribosomal RNA
Source: RNAcentral